CAUUACUAGAGCAAAGGAUAGACAGCGCCCGCGGAGCCUUGCUCCCUGGGGCUACCCUACUUCGGUAAGGUUUAGAGUCGUCGGGCCUCUCGAAGAAGCUCGGUCCUGAACUCCACCCUUGAAUAAAUUACCUUUGUUGCUUUGGCGGGCCGCCUCGUGCCAGCGGCUUCGGCUGUUGCGUGCCCGCCAGAGGACCACAACUCUUGUUUUUAGUGAUGUCUGAGUACUAUAUAAUAGUUAAAACUUUCAACAACGGAUCUCUUGGUUCUGGCAUCGAUGAAGAACGCAGCGAAAUGCGAUAAGUAAUGUGAAUUGCAGAAUUCAGUGAAUCAUCGAAUCUUUGAACGCACAUUGCGCCCUCUGGUAUUCCGGGGGGCAUGCCUGUUCGAGCGUCAUUAUAACCACUCAAGCUCUCGCUUGGUAUUGGGGUUCGCGGUCUCGCGGCCCCUAAAGUCAGUGGCGGUGCCUGUCGGCUCUACGCGUAGUAAUACUCCUCGCGAUUGAGUCCGGUAGGUUUACUUGCCAGCAACCCCUAAUUUUUACAGGUUGACCUCGGAUCAGGUAGGGAUACCCGCUGAACUUAAGCAUAUCAAUAAGCGGAGGAAAAGAAACCAACAGGGAUUACCUCAGUAACGGCGAGUGAAGCGGUAACAGCUCAAAUUUGAAAGCUGGCUCUUUUAGGGUCCGCGUUGUAAUUUGUA
Molecule: ribosomal RNA, 701 nt
Filed under: fungal sp.
Lineage: Eukaryota; Fungi
Description: eukaryotic LSU rRNA
Rfam family: 5.8S ribosomal RNA (bases 242-395)
Source: RNAcentral